This 415-nucleotide ribosomal RNA is filed under the name uncultured bacterium. RNAcentral's name for it is "bacterial SSU rRNA". It matches the Rfam family "Bacterial small subunit ribosomal RNA", at positions 355 to 786 of the family's 1533-position model. The record is from RNAcentral.
UGGGGAAUAUUGCACAAUGGGGGAAACCCUGAUGCAGCAACGCCGCGUGAGUGAAGGAGUGCUUCGGCAUGUAAAGCUCUAUCAGCAGGGAAGAAGAAGGACGGUACCUGACUAAGAAGCCCCGGCUAACUACGUGCCAGCAGCCGCGGUAAUACGUAGGGGGCAAGCGUUAUCCGGAUUUACUGGGUGUAAAGGGAGCGUAGACGGCAGCGCAAGUCUGAAGUGAAAGCCCGUGGCUCAACCGCGGAACUGCUUUGGAAACUGUGCGGCUGGAGUGCUGGAGAGGUAAGCGGAAUUCCUGGUGUAGCGGUGAAAUGCGUAGAGAUCAGGAGGAACACCGGUGGCGAAGGCGGCUUACUGGACAGUAACUGACGUUGAGGCUCGAAAGCGUGGGGAGCAAACAGGAUUAGAUACC